GGACUACCGGGGUAUCUAAUCCUGUUUGCUACCCGAGCCUUCGUCCCUCAACGUCAGUUACUACAUAAAAGGUUGCCUUCGCCUUUACCAGUCCUUAAGGUAUCACAAAAUUUCAACUUUACUCCUUAAAUACUCACCUUAUCACAUAUAACUCUAGUAGGAUUAUACUAUAUUUAUAGUUAAUUCUACAGUCUAGGUACCCUUUACACCUAAUAAAGAUGAAUAACACUAGUCUUUUACGUAUUACCGCGGCUGCUGGCAC
This 262-nucleotide ribosomal RNA is filed under the name uncultured bacterium. RNAcentral's name for it is "partial 16S ribosomal RNA". The record is from RNAcentral.